Non-coding RNA from Ictidomys tridecemlineatus (thirteen-lined ground squirrel), 729 nucleotides. NCBI's taxonomy places the organism in Eukaryota, Metazoa, Chordata, Mammalia, Rodentia, Sciuridae. The record is from RefSeq and is a predicted model, not a curated record.
GGGGCUCAGCCCCCAGCAUAGGGUGUCAGAUCUUGGCAUGAAAUGCAGCCGCGUCUCCUUGAGCAUCUGGCCCUGUCAAGCUGAGCCUGUUCCUGGCGUGGGAAACUGGAGCCCCGGGAGCACCAGUGUGAAGUGGCUGCUGAAGGAGGCAGCACACUCAGGACUGGAAGUAGGAAGAAUUACAGGACACGGACUCCUCGGCACUUCGCAGAGAGGAUUGUUAACGGGGUACCACCCUCGUGCACAUGUUUAAUCAAAUGCCAGAUUUCUUGACUUGCUAUUGCUUCCUGUGGAAAGAGUUUGGUGGGCAUUUCUGUUCAUGAGAGAAAGCCAGUGUCAAGUUUCUCUGGCCCUUGGCUGGAGGCAUAGUAGCCACACUGAUGACGAAUUUCUCUGGGGCUGAUGCAAACAUGUGGCUUCUUUUCUACAUGGCAGCACUUUCUGCUUUAGAAAGAUUUUGCAAACUUCUCUUGUGUCAGAAAGAGUCAAACCAGGUUUUUUCCCUCAGGUGUUUGGGUGAGGCCAGAGAAAAGGGCAGGGGAGAGACGCUGCCUGGCAGCCCGGGGACCUGCAGGAGAGAGUGCCUGGUAUCUGAAAGCUGGAGCACGUCUGGGUCUUCAAGUGGCCUGGCAGACUUUUUGUCAAUUUGUUAUUCUCUUCUUUUUUGUUUUUGGUUCAUUUGAGGCAAAGAAUAUUCCACUGGGUACUUGAUUAAACAUAAAAUUCCUA